This 56-nucleotide transfer RNA is filed under the name Camelus ferus (Wild Bactrian camel). It matches the Rfam family "tRNA", at positions 9 to 63 of the family's 71-position model. From Rfam's summary of the family: Transfer RNA (tRNA) molecules are approximately 80 nucleotides in length. Lineage: Eukaryota; Metazoa; Chordata; Mammalia; Artiodactyla; Camelidae. The record is from Rfam by way of RNAcentral.
GGCUCAGUGGUACAGCGUGUGCUUAGCGUGCACAUGGUCCUGGGUUCAAUCCCCAG